UACGGAGGAUCCGAGCGUUAUCCGGAUUUAUUGAGUUUAAAGGGUGCGUAGGCGGUUUGAUAAGUUAGAGGUGAAAUGUCGGGGCUCAACCCCGAAACUGCCUCUAAUACUGUUGGACUAGAGAAUAGUUGCGGUAGGCGGAAUGUAUGGUGUAGCGGUGAAAUGCUUAGAGAUCAUACAGAACACCGAUUGCGAAGGCAGCUUACCAAACUAUAUCUGACGUUGAGGCACGAAAGCGUGGGUAGCAAACAGG
This 253-nucleotide ribosomal RNA is filed under the name uncultured bacterium. RNAcentral describes it as "partial 16S ribosomal RNA". It matches the Rfam family "Bacterial small subunit ribosomal RNA", at positions 524 to 776 of the family's 1533-position model. The record is from RNAcentral.